UGAGGCAGGAGAAUUGCUUGAACCCAGGAGGUGGAGGCUGCAGUGAGCUGAGAUCAUGCCACUUCACUCCAGCCUGGGUGACAAAGCGAGACUCUGUCUC
RNAcentral lists this microRNA precursor (100 nucleotides) under Nomascus leucogenys (northern white-cheeked gibbon). Its description in RNAcentral is "miRNA (ENSNLEG00000019490.2)". The record is from RNAcentral. Lineage: Eukaryota; Metazoa; Chordata; Mammalia; Primates; Hylobatidae.